CCAUUAGAGGGCCGCUCCUCAACAAGAUGGAAGAGGAUGCCCCAGUCACUGCCACCGAGACUGGAGUACUGAAUAUAAAUGAAGCUUCCGAAGGGCUUGGACUCAGUACAGAUUAAGCAUGUUCAAAAUACUCAGAAAGAUGGAGUGACAUGUCUGAUUGGUAAAUCUGAGAACAACCUGGCAUGCCGUCCUCUGCCCUUAUCCUCAGGAGCAGCCUUCCUGCUGAAUUCCUCCUUUCCCUGCAUUACAGAGGAGCUUCCCCACCAUGUGCAAGAGGCAUAUCCCAGUGACUGCCACCAAGACUGGGUAGAUAAGCCUGUCUCCUUAUGAUGUUCACCGGAAACGAGUAACUUGGCUAAUAAACUUCAAGUCUUCCCUCAGGUGUCUAAAG
Long non-coding RNA from Equus caballus (horse), 391 nucleotides. The record is from Ensembl. NCBI's taxonomy places the organism in Eukaryota, Metazoa, Chordata, Mammalia, Perissodactyla, Equidae.